This 1025-nucleotide long non-coding RNA is filed under the name Mus musculus (house mouse). RNAcentral describes it as "predicted gene, 19585 (Gm19585)". Lineage: Eukaryota; Metazoa; Chordata; Mammalia; Rodentia; Muridae. The record is from RNAcentral.
UGUUGACUUUUGACAUCAAACUCUUCAGUCCAGCUGCACUCUAUUGAGUGUGAACGAUCUUACUCAAUAGUACCCAAACUGGUCAAGGUUCCUGUAAAGAGAAGACCAAACUUCAGGCAAGAAUAGAGUUUGGAGAUGGACUUGCUUACCCGUCUAAAGGAUGUGGAAUUGGAGAAUAAGUGAGCUAAUCUUGGAAGAAUUUUGCAGAAAAACAGGACAUUUCUCCAUGGAUCCAGAGGAAGUGGUAACUGAGGGUUUGAGCUCUAUAGGGAUCUGGCUUCUUCAUGGGUAUUCCUAGUGGAUGGCCUCAAGUCUACAAUAGAGACUGCUUGGCUGUCUGCAGUGGAAAAGACCUUCAAGUUGACUGUGAGUGGGUGCGACUCAUCAAGAAAAAUAACCUCACCACCACAACAACACAUGAUGGGAGAGACCGAAACUUCUUUGGGAGAACAUAAGGGGAAAAAAAAAAGAAAAAGUGAAGUCUAAAUAUUAUUAAACACAUGAAAGCAGAGUCAUUUACUUAUUAGGAAGGCGCUCAUUCACACACAGGUAGACUUGUGGUCCCUUAGAAGUACGUAAACACAACCCGUCAGUCCACCACAGUCAACAUCAGAAUUUCUUGGGAAAUGCCUCAUGAAAGAGUUUUUAAAGAAUAAUAUGACUGUGGAUCUGUCAAAUAAUUUCCCAAAAGCCAUGAAAGAUGAGUUGCUCUGCUCUGUUAUGCAUUUCCUUCCCUUGCACGGGCACUCACAGCUUGCCAAAUUUAGUCUGAGAUCUGAACAGAGAGAAAACAUGAACUCUUUCAACUGAAGUUCGGCUUCCUGUUUCUACAUGGCCUCUCAUACUCUGGGCCAUUCUGCAGAUCUACCCAGGUGUGUUUCCUGGACACUUGAUAAAAAUCAUUCUCACAUCAAAGUUGACCAAAAAUGAUUGAUGAUAAGUAGUUAAGGGUUUAUAAAUGCCAGACUAUGGGAGAUGAUUGUAAAAUAAAUAGAUAUAAAUAAAUAAAUAAACAAAUAAAUGUA